UUAGGAAUUGAUUCAUCAUCCUCCUCUAAUAUCUUUACACUACUAUUGUAAGUGAUUGGAACUGUGAAAUGUUUUCGUUUCUGUUGUGGACGAGUGUGGCAGUGUAGCCAGUCCCUUGUUUUGUUUUUCUCUCACUUUGAGUAGUGGAGCGCUGCCCUGAAUCUUUCGUCUGCAUUUUGGUAACACUAGCAACACAUGUAAGAAUCACGAAUGCUUUCGUGUGAGGUGUCUUCAACCUGUCCACUCUUCAUUUUGGCUAUUUUACCAAAUAUUAAUACAAAUGAUUAUCUAUCCCUUGCAAGAAUAAGUGUAUGUUGUAUGUACCGCCAUGUCACUCUACUGUCCCAUGGCGCCUCCCCUUCAUCAGUCAGCUUUGAGAAAGUUUCCUCUGGAUAAAAUCUGUAUACGUAAUUAUGGCACUUUACUUGUUUAUGUAACAUAAUCUGCAGUGUCCUUAUAGGUUAUUAAGCAUCUUUUAAGAUUAUACAGAGUAUAACCUGUAUGCUUGUGACACCCUUGCUUUGUCAAUUACUGUAAACACGGUGCCAAUGAGUUAGUGCUUAGAGCUCCUUUGUGUUACUUUUCUGAUGUUAUGUAAUCAUAACUAAUUUAGGUAGACAUUGAUUUUCUCUCAAAGUCCUAAAUUAAGCUUAAAUUAAUAUGAAUUCCCUCUUUUCUAAGAGUAUCGAAAACUACACAGUUGUUCUGCUGCAACAAGGUAAGUAUUAAUCCACUUCCCAUCAACACUUAGAAAUAUACUGUUCUAAAUUAUAACACCACCAAGCUCAAAUAACUAAUAAUUUAGUUAUUUUAAUUGAAAAUCCAUAAGCAAUACCUAUGACACAUCUGUUCCUUCCCGAUAGACUGCCAUUGCCUAUUGCUUCCACAGGAUCUACCUGAAGGGCAGAGGAUUAAGCAGCCGCCAUCUUGGCCACAUGGAACUAUACUGAUCCGGGAACUGAGAAAGGAAUGAGCCCGGAUGGACACCAGGCUUCUACCUAGCCGACUAAUAAUAGGGACUGCAAUGGAAGGAACCUCCUUAGACGAUCACCAGUCAUCACAGGGAUCACUUGUCUCACCAGGCAGCCUCCUUCCCCACUCCACUUCUCGAGACAACAAUGCAUGUUAUUUUACUUUCCAAUGUGUGCCCUCCAUCACUGUCGCCAUUGAAGAAGGAUGAAUCCAAUUAUACGGUAUAUAAGAUGAUCUAUCGCGUUUGCGUGCCUUGUUAGGGGAAAGGGACUCUGGUAAUGUGUGUCUCAGGGAUUAUAAAACCUUCGCCGUUCUUUUUCAUCAAGACCGAACAUUUUUGGCCUUCCAAGUUCUACAGUAGUGAGUAUAGCCUUGCUGCAUUCUUCUUACUUACGAAUCCAAGUGUUCUUUAACAUCCCUCAGGUGUAAUCCAGAGUAACUGUAGUAAAGUAGUAAAAUAUAUGUAAAUAAGCUAAACCUCUGAGUUUACCUCAAUUCCUUAAUUCUGAAGUCGGCCCUAAGCCGUUAUUUUUCAUUUUUCAUUUAUGUUAUGGUUCCUAUAGGAAAUUUAGCCUUUAAAUAAUCGCAUCUCAGAUCUGCUGCAAUUGCUGAGGAACCGCAAACGUAAUAAUGGGGAAUUUUUACUAGAAUCGUGUUAAAAUCAUGCAUUAUUCCUUGCAAUAACGAUUAUCAGCUAGUAACGAUUGCUAAAACUGAUAUUACAAGAGAAAACAAACCGGUA
Molecule: long non-coding RNA, 1714 nt
Organism: Macrobrachium nipponense
Lineage: Eukaryota; Metazoa; Arthropoda; Malacostraca; Decapoda; Palaemonidae
Exons: 3
Source: RefSeq, a predicted model, not a curated record